UGAGUCAUUCCUGUGGCUCAGAUUCAUGAUUCUAAACCAGCCUUACAUGAAGGUGACUUUGUAAUAGGUUGGGGAUAGACAGAAAAGUAAAGAGGAAAAAAGGUGGAAAAUACAGGUUUUGAAAUUAAUCAGGGAUUUAUUUAAAAGGACAAGCUACUGUUACGUCACUGAUUAUGGCAAUAGAAAACAACAUCAUAUUUUUUAACAUGGGGCAAAUUCAGUAUUUUAAAAUAAAUCCUGUAGGAAUAAAAUAUCACUUAGACUCCUCAGAGGUGGGAUUAUUACUUUCCUUCUGGCAUGGGUGAAAGUCAUGGGAAUGUUUAUUUCCCUAAAUUUUUUUUGCUUGCCUUCUUUCCUCUUUCAGAUAACAGGACAGUCUGACUUAUCAGCAUAGAAAAUAUUUCUGUCAGCAUUCGGAGAACGUGGGGGUGUCCUAUGGCCAACCACAUUUGGAAAAACUACCCAUUUAUGCCCGUUAUUGGAGAUUCAUAAGACUUUGUAGUUUUUCCAAGCCCGGUAUAAUGACUAUUAAUGCUCCCUGGAGAACACACUUAGAGAUAUACUUCAUUAUUACAAAGUUGUGAUUUGUCUGCUGGUGUGAAUUUCAGAUACCGCGGUGGCACCUUGAGGGAAGUAUAAAGCUGAACCAAACACUAAAAUGGAAAUGAAGAUAGAGGUUCUCUUAAACAACAAAUACUGAAGAUGUAUGCUUAUAGCCAACUUUCCUCCUUACAUUUUCUUUAAAAAUAAAUGAUGUAAAAUUACCAUACAGCAGUGAAAAAGAAUAAAAUACACAUCACGUUGGUUACAUCUCGGGAAAUAAUACUGAGUGAAAAAAAAAUCAAGUUUCAGAAGAAUUCAGCAAUUCCAUUUAUAUCAACUCAACACAUUCAAGACUAAACUAUGCAUUGUUUGAAGAUAUCAACAUAUAUGCCAGACUACAAAGCAAAACAAGGGGAUGAUAAACCAAAAUUCAGAGUAGCGGUUUUCUCCAGGGAGAAGCCCCACAACAUUAUGGAGCGGCACAUAGGCCCCCUCAAAGGGGUGGGCGUGGGGGGGGGCACUCUAUUCCUUAUCCUGGGUGGUGGUUUCAUGGUCCUCAAUUUUAGUGUAAUUCAUCAUGCCUUAUACACAUGUCACAAUUAUUCCUUUGUAGCCAAUCAGUUUUUCAUGAAAACAAU
Long non-coding RNA from Panthera uncia (snow leopard), 1181 nucleotides. RefSeq lists it as uncharacterized. The record is from RefSeq and is a predicted model, not a curated record. NCBI's taxonomy places the organism in Eukaryota, Metazoa, Chordata, Mammalia, Carnivora, Felidae. The transcript is spliced from 4 exons.